AAUUUUAAGAAAUUUUAAGUCAAUUACAAGUUCGGUGAAAGACUUAGAUCACAACCUUCAGACGCCAAAUACGAAUUUCACGAAAAACUGUAGAGGGAAGUACGGCGGCUUUAAGUCCGACACAAAUCUGAGUCUUUACGCGAAUCACAAUAAAAGCACCAAUGCGUCAUGUAAACGAGUAGGAAAAACAUGACCGGAUUUAAUGUCACGAUGCCUCCAAAUGAGCCAGAUGUUGUAAAACAAUGAAACCAGGACAAUCUUGAGCUGCAUCUCAUGGAGAAAGUUGAACAUCUCGAUUUACAUGUCUAUCACGAAAAAGGAGAGUGAAAUGUGGCAAGUUGGACUAGAUGCAACAUGCUACUUUGUAAGUUAACAAGUCAAAUCACACCUUACUUCCGGUGUCGAUCACACCAGGAACGAGCAGCAGGAGGCGGAAUGAACCUCAUCGUCGCAAUGUUGACUUUCCUACUUGACGUUUCUCUCUCACAGACGGACGGAGGAUUAAAAACGUUGGCUGAAUCCAACUCUGGACAAAAUUUGGUAUCUUCGUCCCUCGAGAGAAUUGUGCUGAACUGACCGAUCUGCUCUCUUUUGAAGUUCUGUUACUUUGCUGUAUUUUCUCAGAAUUUACUUUCGCUUUCCUCUUAACCGGGUAUUUCCUUUCCGUGCAAAUAAAUCCAAGUCGUCUCCAGUAACAUUUUGAAACUUAAUAUUUUUAAGAAAUUGUCACCAAGGUUGAAAUUUGGCUAAAAUUCGCACUCCCAACAAGGCAGUUUUAACUUCCGGUUGAGUGCACCUUCAUGAUUCAUUAGUUUUUUAAAUCAUUUCUUCAAGUAAAUCUAAAACAUUUAAAUACUUAAAUCGCCCAUUAUUCAUGUCUUUGAACUCAUAAUUUGUGCAGAAUUUGAGAGAUUUUUUGCAAAAACAGAUAAUUUUUUGCAGAAUUUCAUACAAUUUGUUUAUAUCUAUAUAAACAUACAAUUUUGACACGUUGUAACUUUACAUUUGUAAACUUCACAUUACACGGUAAAAAAUCCAAAUCAAUAAUAGAAUUCAAAAUAUCCACUUUAUUAAAACACAUUAAAACCAAACCUAUUUAUAACUCGAAGGAUGGGCGGAAGUGGCAGCGGUGUGAGCAUCCGGUUGUUGCGGAGAAGAUAAAAAUUAUACAAUUGGAAAAAAUUCUCUUAUUUAUUGUCUCUUUUCUCCCUAUUUGCACAAUAACCAAGCAACCACUGCACAAUUGCUCCUCUCUCAUCUCGCUGGAUUUUAGGAACCAUGCCAGGGUUCCCUAUCCAUGUGGUAAUUACAUCGGCUGUGAAUACCUGGAAAAAUGUUAUUCGGUGCGCCAUGAAUUGCCUAAAUUCUAUUAAUCGACCCAAGUAGGAAUUUCCGGAACCCUGAGUGCUGGUUUAUUUGUGUUGCAUCGUCCACCCAGGAAGAUUUAUCUCGCUGCCCACUUUCACCCGAAUCUCACCCUUGCUUUCUCCACGCUAUUCUUGGACCUUUACGACUUCCAACGUUCCCCAGAACACGGAAGAGUUACAAUAAUUCGGAUAAUAUUUAUGGCACAAUAACCGUCGCAUAACUUUAUGUAAGCAGUGAAAGAGAUGCGGAUGUAAUGUAGCAAUUAAUUGAAAGUUGUUACGAAUCCUAUAAUUUCGAAUGUGGUUUAUACAUUUCAAAAGGAUAAUUUAGAUUCGCCGUAAGUAACUUACGGUAAGUUAAUAGGUAAGUAUUAGUUAAAAAAGUUGUAUAUAUAUUUUUAAAUUUUGCACUAAAAUACUUUGGUUUUUCCGAGUCGACAAAUUUCAACAAAUAAUUAUGAAACUGCUGAAGGAACUCUCGUCAACGUUUGUAACCAUCGUAACUGCGUAAGGUUUGUGUAAGAUUAUAAGUUUUUGAAUGUUUAAAUUGCGCUAAAACGGCUACCAAAAAAAUAUCACAUUUAGUAUAAGUUUUGCUAAAUCGCGACGAGUUUUUAUAUUUAUGCAGGAAUCUCCUUCCAUCUCAGUAGUUACUAGAAUUAUAAAACAUUUCGUUUUUACUAAAAUGAAGUGCAAGUUUGGCAGACAGUGGUGGUGUAAAGUGGUUUUGGUUUGGUUGAAAUCUUAGAAUUAUGCAGUCCAUACAACUAUACAUAGUUCUCAGUCAAUAAAACCUGAUCAAUUGAGAAUCCAACAA
Folsomia candida is the source of this 2184-nucleotide long non-coding RNA. RefSeq lists it as uncharacterized. NCBI's taxonomy places the organism in Eukaryota, Metazoa, Arthropoda, Collembola, Entomobryomorpha, Isotomidae. The transcript is spliced from 2 exons. The record is from RefSeq and is a predicted model, not a curated record.